This 497-nucleotide ribosomal RNA is filed under the name uncultured bacterium. RNAcentral describes it as "partial 16S ribosomal RNA". It matches the Rfam family "Bacterial small subunit ribosomal RNA", at positions 28 to 507 of the family's 1533-position model. The record is from RNAcentral.
GACGAACGCUGGCGGCGUGCCUAAUACAUGCAAGUUGAGCGCUGAAGGUUGGUACUUGUACCGACUGGAUGAGCAGCGAACGGGUGAGUAACGCGUGGGGAAUCUGCCUUUGAGCGGGGGACAACAUUUGGAAACGAAUGCUAAUACCGCAUAAAAACUUUAAACACAAGUUUUAAGUUUGAAAGAUGCAAUUGCAUCACUCAAAGAUGAUCCCGCGUUGUAUUAGCUAGUUGGUGAGGUAAAGGCUCACCAAGGCGAUGAUACAUAGCCGACCUGGGAGGGUGAUCGGCCACAUUGGGACUGAGACACGGCCCAAACUCCUACGGGAGGCAGCAGUAGGGAAUCUUCGGCAAUGGACGAAAGUCUGACCGAGCAACGCCGCGUGAGUGAAGAAGGUUUUCGGAUCGUAAAACUCUGUUGGUAGAGAAGAACGUUGGUGAGAGUGGAAAGCUCAUCAAGUGACGGUAACUACACAGAAAGGGACGGCUAACUACGUG